AGAGUUUGAUCAUGGCUCAGAUUGAACGCUGGCGGCAGGCCUAACACAUGCAAGUCGAACGGUAGCACAGAGAGCUUGCUCCCUGGGUGACGAGCGGCGGACGGGUGAGUAAUGUCUGGGAAACUGCCUGAUGGAGGGGGAUAACUACUGGAAACGGUAGCUAAUACCGCAUAACGUCGCAAGACCAAAGAGGGGGACCUUCGGGCCUCUUGCCAUCAGAUGUGCCCAGAUGGGAUUAGCUAGUAGGUGGGGUAAUGGCUCACCUAGGCGACGAUCCCUAGCUGGUCUGAGAGGAUAACCAGCCACACUGGAACUGAGACACGGUCCAGACUCCUACGGGAGGCAGCAGUGGGGAAUAUUGCACAAUGGGCGCAAGCCUGAUGCAGCCAUGCCGCGUGUAUGAAGAAGGCCUUCGGGUUGUAAAGUACUUUCAGCGAGGAGGAAGGCGUUGUGGUUAAUAACCGCAGCGAUUGACGUUACUCGCAGAAGAAGCACCGGCUAACUCCGUGCCAGCAGCCGCGGUAAUACGGAGGGUGCAAGCGUUAAUCGGAAUUACUGGG
This 560-nucleotide ribosomal RNA is filed under the name uncultured bacterium. RNAcentral describes it as "bacterial SSU rRNA". It matches the Rfam family "Bacterial small subunit ribosomal RNA", at positions 8 to 558 of the family's 1533-position model. The record is from RNAcentral.